AGGUCCAGCCUGCCCAGUGACAUUGUUCAACGGCCGCGGUAUCCUAACCGUGCGAAGGUAGCGUAAUCACUUGUCCUUUAAAUGAAGACUAGUAUGAAUGGCCCCACGAAAGCUAUACUGUCUCCUUUUUCUAAUCAGUUAAACUAAUCUCCCCGUGAAGAAGCGGGGAUAAACAUAUAAGACGAGAAGACCCUAUGGAGCUUCAAACAACUGAAACACUUGUAUAUCCUCCCCUCACCUACCAACAUUUAACCUCACAUUUUGUUUCUAGUUUUAGGUUGGGGUGACCACGGAGAAAAAACUAACCUCCACGACGAAAGAGACAUCUCUAAACAAAAAGCUACAUCUUUAUGUAUUAACACAUUAACCUUUAUUGACCCAAUAAAUUGAUCAACGAAC
Molecule: ribosomal RNA, 399 nt
Filed under: Anomaloglossus baeobatrachus group sp. ABGD cluster 2
Lineage: Eukaryota; Metazoa; Chordata; Amphibia; Anura; Aromobatidae
Description: partial large subunit ribosomal RNA
Rfam family: Bacterial large subunit ribosomal RNA
Source: RNAcentral